GAUGAGCAAGUUUUCUACAUUCAAUACUUGAAGUCCAUGGCAUUUUCAGUGUACUGCCAGUGCAGGCGACCACUGCCUACACAGAUCCACAUUAAAUCCCUCACGGGAUUUGGGCCUGCAGCCAGCAUUGAGAUGACCCUCAAGAACCCUGAGCGGCCCAGCCCAAUCCAGCUUUACUCCCCUCCCUUUAUAUUGGCCCCAAUCAAAGACAAGCAGACAGAGCUGGGAGAGACGUUUGGUGAGGCGAGCCAGAAAUACAAUGUGCUCUUCGUGGGCUAUUGUCUGUCUCACGACCAGCGCUGGCUUUUGGCUUCCUGCACUGACCUCCAUGGGGAAUUAUUAGAGACCUGCGUUGUAAAUAUUGCUUUACCAAACAGGUGAGAAGACUUGAUGUUUAUGGUGCAUGUAAAUUAAUGCUGUACCGUUCCUCAAAUAUGAAUAUUUCCAGUUUUCUAUGUAAAUGAAGUGGGUACAGCAUGGAUAGGUUCUUUGGAAUUUCUAGUGUUUGUCUUAUAAGUGAUAAAUAACUCUGAUUUAUCUAGGGACCCCUUCCCCUUCCCCAUUUCUUUCUUUGUUAGGUCACGGAGGAGUAAAGUAUCUGCACGUAAAAUUGGACUACAGAAGUUAUGGGAGUGGUGCGUAGGGAUUGUCCAAAUGACAUCUCUACCCUGGAGAGUUGUAAUCGGGCGACUUGGGCGUCUUGGCCAUGGGGAGCUUAAAGAUUGGAGUAUCCUCCUUGGAGAAUGUUCACUACAGACAAUCAGCAAAAAGCUCAAGGAUGUGUGCCGGAUGUGUGGAAUCUCUGCCGCAGACUCUCCUUCUAUCCUUAGUGCCUGCCUGGUUGCCAUGGAGCCCCAGGGGUCCUUUGUAGUGAUGCCAG
RNAcentral lists this small RNA (880 nucleotides) under Pan troglodytes (chimpanzee). RNAcentral describes it as "retained intron". Lineage: Eukaryota; Metazoa; Chordata; Mammalia; Primates; Hominidae. The record is from RNAcentral.